Helianthus annuus (common sunflower) is the source of this 211-nucleotide long non-coding RNA. RefSeq lists it as uncharacterized. Lineage: Eukaryota; Viridiplantae; Streptophyta; Magnoliopsida; Asterales; Asteraceae. The record is from RefSeq and is a predicted model, not a curated record. The transcript has 2 exons.
ACCAAAAUCCUGUCAGCUCCUGUUCAUGGACUCACUGCUGAAGAGAAAAAGUUGAUGUGAAAUGUGAAGAGACACUUGGGGGAGAACAAGUUUUAAAUUCUGAUUCACAAAAACCUUGUUUUGAUGAAAAUAAUCCUGAUCUUAUUUUGGGACAAAGUAUUUUUAGCAUGUUACUUUCUUUAGCUGGUAAUGGGCCUGAUGUUUUGGGCAA